CCUACGGGUGGCAGCAGUGGGGAAUAUUGGGCAAUGGGCGCAAGCCUGACCCAGCAACGCCGCGUGAAGGAAGAAGGCUUUCGGGUUGUAAACUUCUUUUUUCAGGGACGAAGCAAGUGACGGUACCUGACGAAUAAGCCACUUCUAACUACGUGCCAGCAGCCGCUGUAAUACGGCGGUGGCAAGCGUUAUCAGGAUGUAUUGGGUGUAAAGGGCGCGUAGGCGGGAGUGCAAGUCAGAUGUGAAAUCUAUGGGCUAAACCCAUAGCCUGCAUUUGAAACUGUAGUUCAUGAGUGCUGGGGAGGCAAGCGGAAUUCCGGGUGUAGCGGUGAAAUGCGUAGAUAUACGGAGGAACACCAGUGGCGAAGGCGGAUUGCUGGACAGUAACUGACGCUGAGGCGCGAAAGCGUGGGGAGCAAACAGGAUUAGAUACCCCAGUAGUC
RNAcentral lists this ribosomal RNA (443 nucleotides) under uncultured bacterium. RNAcentral describes it as "partial 16S ribosomal RNA". It matches the Rfam family "Bacterial small subunit ribosomal RNA", at positions 338 to 795 of the family's 1533-position model. The record is from RNAcentral.